Molecule: ribosomal RNA, 496 nt
Filed under: uncultured bacterium
Lineage: Bacteria
Description: partial 16S ribosomal RNA
Rfam family: Bacterial small subunit ribosomal RNA
Source: RNAcentral
GAUGAACGCUGGCGGCGUGCCUAAUACAUGCAAGUCGAGCGAACAGAUGAGGAGCUUGCUCCUCUGACGUUAGCGGCGGACGGGUGAGUAACACGUGGAUAACCUACCUAUAAGACUGGGAUAACUUCGGGAAACCGGAGCUAAUACCGGAUAAUAUAUUGAACCGCAUGGUUCAAUAGUGAAAGGCGGUUUUGCUGUCACUUAUAGAUGGAUCCGCGCCGCAUUAGCUAGUUGGUAAGGUAACGGCUUACCAAGGCAACGAUGCGUAGCCGACCUGAGAGGGUGAUCGGCCACACUGGAACUGAGACACGGUCCAGACUCCUACGGGAGGCAGCAGUAGGGAAUCUUCCGCAAUGGGCGAAAGCCUGACGGAGCAACGCCGCGUGAGUGAUGAAGGUCUUCGGAUCGUAAAACUCUGUUAUUAGGGAAGAACAAAUGUGUAAGUAACUAUGCACGUCUUGACGGUACCUAAUCAGAAAGCCACGGCUAACUACGG